RNAcentral lists this ribosomal RNA (465 nucleotides) under uncultured bacterium. Its description in RNAcentral is "partial 16S ribosomal RNA". It matches the Rfam family "Bacterial small subunit ribosomal RNA", at positions 28 to 507 of the family's 1533-position model. The record is from RNAcentral.
GACGAACGCUGGCGGCGUGCUUAACACAUGCAAGUCGUACGGUAAGGCCCUUUCGGGGGUACACGAGUGGCGAACGGGUGAGUAACACGUGAGUAACCUGCCCACAACUUUGGGAUAACGCUAGGAAACUGGUGCUAAUACUGGAUAUGUGCUCCUGCUGCAUGGUGGGGGUUGGAAAGCUCCGGCGGUUGUGGAUGGACUCGCGGCCUAUCAGCUUGUUGGUGGGGUAGUGGCCUACCAAGGCGGCGACGGGUAGCCGGCCUGAGAGGGUGACCGGCCACAUUGGGACUGAGAGAAGGCCCAGACUCGUAAGGGAGGCAGCAGGGGGGAAGAUUGAACAAGGGGCGCAAGCCUGAUGCAGCAACGCCGCGGGCGGGAUGACGGCCUUAGGGUUGAAAACCGAUUUCAGCAGGGACGAAGCAUUUUGUGACGGUACCUGCAGAAGAAGCACCGGCUAACUACGUG